UACAGAGGUCUCAAGCGUUGUUCGGAUUCAUUGGGCGUAAAGGGCGCGUAGGCGGCGGGGUAAGUCGGGUGUGAAAUCUCAGAGCUCAACUCUGAAACUGCACUCGAUACUGCUCUGCUUGAGGACUGGAGAGGAGACUGGAAUUCACGGUGUAGCAGUGAAAUGCGUAGAUAUCGGGAGGAACACCAGUGGCGAAGGCGAUCAUCUGGGGUUGUUCUGACGCUGAGGAGCGAAAGCUAGGGGAGCAAACGGG
This 253-nucleotide ribosomal RNA is filed under the name uncultured prokaryote. Its description in RNAcentral is "partial 16S ribosomal RNA". It matches the Rfam family "Bacterial small subunit ribosomal RNA", at positions 524 to 776 of the family's 1533-position model. The record is from RNAcentral.